AGGGUAUGAUACCGGCUCAGAACGAACGCUGGCGGCGUGGAUAAGACAUGCAAGUCGCGCGAGAAAGGGAUCUUCGGAACCCGAGUAAAGCGGCGAAAGGGUCAGUAAUACAUAGAUAACCUGUCCUCAGGAUCGGCACAACCCUUCGAAAGUGGGGCUAAUUCCGGAUGUGAUGCCAGUUCGCCUGUUCUGGCAUGAAAGGCGGGGACCUUCGGGCCUGUCGCCUGUGGAGGGGUCUAUGUCCUAUCAGCUAGUUGGCGGGGUAAUAGCCCACCAAGGCAUACGGGUACGGGGCCUGAGAGGGUGUUCCCGGACACUGGGACUGAGACACUGCCCAGACUCCUACGGGAGGCUGCAGUCGAGAAUCAUUCGCAAUGGGCGCAAGCCUGACGAUGCGACGCCGCGUGUGGGAUGGAGGCCUUCGGGUUGUAAACCACUGUCGCAGGGGAAGAAACGCACGGAUUUGAUAACGGUCCGUGCCUGACGUUACCCUGAAAGGAAGCCACGGCUAACUCCGUGCCAGCAGCCGCGGUCAUUCGGAGGUGGCAAGCGUUGUUCGGAAUCACUGGGCGUAAAGGGCGCGUAGGCGGUUCGUCGUGUCUGGUGUGAAAUCCCCCGGCUCACCCGGGGAAUUGCGCCGGAAACUGGCGGACUUGAGUGCAGGAGAGGAGCGCGGAAUUCCUGGUGGAGCGGUGAAAUGCGUAGAUAUCAGGAGGAACGCCAGUGGCGAAAGCGGCUCUCUGGCCUGCUACUGACGCUGAGGCACGAAAGCCAGGGGAGCGAACGGGAUUAGAUACCCCGGUAGUCCUGGCUGUAAACGAUGGGCACUACGUAGUGGGGGUUCUAACACCUUCACUGCCGGAGUUAACGUAUUAAGUGCCCCGCCUGGGGACUACGGCCGCAAGGCUAAAACUCAAGGUAAUUGACGGGGGCUCACACAAGCGGUGGAGCAUGUUGCGUAAUCGAGACAACGCGAAGAACCUUACCAGGGCUUGACAUGCACGGAUUAGACCGUCGAAAGGCGGUUGACGCCCUUGAGGUGGAACGUGCACAGGUGUUGCAUGGCUGUCGUCAGCUCGUGCCGUGAGGUGUCGGGUUAAGUCCCACAACGAGCGAAACCCUUAUCCCUAGUUGCCAGCGAGUCAUGUUGGGGACUCUAGGGAGACUGCCAGUGUUAAACUGGAGGAAGGUGAGGAUGACGUCAAGUCAUCAUUGCCCUUAUGUCCUGGGCUGCAAACGUGCUACAAUGGCCGGUACAAAGGGUCGCGAGACCGCGAGGUGGAGCCAAUCCCAAAAAGCCGGCCCCAGUUCGGAUUGAAGGCUGCAACUCGCCUUCAUGAAGUUGGAAUCGCUAGUAAUCGCGGAUCAGCAACGCCGCGGUGAAUGUGUUCCUGAGCCUUGUACACACCGCCCGUCAAGUCAUCCGAGUGGAUCGCACCCGAAGCCGCUAACGCGUCGAAGGUGCGGUUCGCGAGGAGGACUAAGUCGAAACAAGGUAGCCGUACGGGAACGUGCG
RNAcentral lists this ribosomal RNA (1516 nucleotides) under metagenome. RNAcentral's name for it is "bacterial SSU rRNA". It matches the Rfam family "Bacterial small subunit ribosomal RNA". The record is from RNAcentral.